RNAcentral lists this small nuclear RNA (172 nucleotides) under Ursus thibetanus thibetanus. RNAcentral's name for it is "U2 spliceosomal RNA (ENSUTTG00000022181.1)". It matches the Rfam family "U2 spliceosomal RNA". From Rfam's summary of the family: U2 is a small nuclear RNA (snRNA) component of the spliceosome (involved in pre-mRNA splicing). Complementary binding between U2 snRNA (in an area lying towards the 5' end but 3' to hairpin I) and the branchpoint sequence (BPS) of the intron results the bulging out of an unpaired adenosine, on the BPS, which initiates a nucleophilic attack at the intronic 5' splice site, thus starting the first of two transesterification reactions that mediate splicing. Lineage: Eukaryota; Metazoa; Chordata; Mammalia; Carnivora; Ursidae. The record is from RNAcentral.
AUCGCUUCUCGGCCUUUUGGCUAAGAUCAAGUGUAGAAUACAAUCUGUUUGUAAUUAAACUGUUUGUAACUCAGGCCUCAUUUUCCCUUAAUGUUGUAAGUAUGGUUAAAGUUCCUACAUUAACCCAAAAAGAUUAUUUAGUCAUGCUAUUACUGAAUUCUAGUCACAAGAG